CUCUCCAACACCACUUACAGCAGCAGCAGCAACUGUAAGUGUACUUGGCUUUCGCCAAUAAACUCGCAAUUGCAUGCAGCGCUGCAUCUCCGUACUUCUGGAUUUUAGCGCCCAUGCUUGUGCCCCACCCGUUUAAAUUGCGUACGUUUGUCCCAACACAUAUUGCUUUCGGAACUGACACAUGUUUGUACUGCUUUGGCUUUUGCUCAACGCAAAUAAUGCUCCGGAACUUACUUCUACAUGCUUCCCGCUUUCUGCACCGAACGCCGAACGCCAAAGACUGCUAUUCCAGUCUUGCUCUGCCCUCACCCUAUAAUUUUGCAUGUCGUCACGCUUCGCGAAACUGAGCACCUCGCUCGCUCCCGCGAUCAUUGCAACAUCAAUCGACCUUUCUGCACUCGCUUACUGACCCCGUACCCCUAUGUUUCCGCUUUCUUUGCUCGCAUGUGAAUCAUAUUUGACGCCUACGCGACUACGCACACCUUCUGGACCUCAUCCUGCUCCUUGACGCGCUUCCGCCGGUAAUUUCGCCCACACAGCCAGCACCGGACUAUCACAAACGAAAGGUUUGUACUUUUGGUUGGACGUUUGUGCGUGAGCAUCGAAGUGACGUGUGCGGUGUGAACAUGCGUGUGCGUCUGUCGAACGGGGCGUGUGCGCGUGCCUGUCCUUCACGCUAAAGCCACCUGAUGAGGCCCUGGCAAGGCCGAAACGCGUCGUGGCGUGCCUUGCCUUUUACGUGUUGUGCGGUGUUACGUGGUGCCGUCCGGGGUUCGUGUCAGCGUGCUGCUGUUCGAGUUCGUGACGCGUCGGGGUCUUCGUGUGUCUCGCACCUCCAACCCCCCACGUAUCCACUUGUGAUGCACAACCCCGUACCCAGACCCGGCCAUCUGUGACCCAUAUGGACUCAGUCCGUGCCCGUAUGGGGCUUACCCAGACUCCGAUUAACUUUGCACGUCCCGCUUGCCCCAAACUCAGAGCUUAUCACCAGCAGCACAUUGACCCUUCUUGCAGUCUGUACAGUAUUAUGAACGAGGGAGCGUAACGCUGUAUGGAUGAGCGCGUAGGACAUUAUGGGACUACAAUCCCAGUCCGAACGGGUCCGCAUGGGGGCACUUGCACGCGCAUCUGGGCAUAUGUUACUCCCCUCGUCGCACCCGUCUAUGACCUGAGUGAGGUUAUAUAUGUGCCCUCACGGUCUACGGCCGUGAACACAUACCUCACUUCCAACCCGACUGUGACCGUGACCAGGCGGAGGCCCCCAGGACCUUGGGUCACGGACAAGCUUCACAACCCGCUCUUGCCCAACCCGGGUUCACUCCGGUCCAGGCCACCGUCCAAAAAUGCGCCAUCUUUGACACUUGAUAACGACUCUGGGAUACCACCGGAAAAGACAAACAACCUGACCUACCCCCCACAAAUCGUAUUUCUUUUCCGACGGUAUCCCCAGUGCCGUACGGCCCUUCCCGUGCGGGGGGUCUUGGGGGCGGAUAGGGGGGUCCCUGACGCCAAACUGGUCUCCCCUGAGUCCCCCACGCUCUCAGCCCCUCCGUGCAUGUAGUAAUGACUUGCUGGUCAAGUGGGAGGGCGGUCCACGCUCGCCUGAGGUCGAAAUGGGCGGGUUUUGGCCCGCCAGUCAUGCGCCCGAUGGGCGCGUGUCGGUCCGAUUGGGCCAAAGUGUGCUGGAGAGAGCAGUAACUCACUCCAUAUGUUAUUUAGAUACCCAAUAUUGCAUUGGAAUGUAUCCCGGGGCAAAAUGUGAGGCUCUGCCGACCGGCAAUUUCGCGACCGAGGCCCCUCGAGGAGCCAUUUUUUCAAACCGUGAUUGCCGUGUCUACUGUCAGCUAUAAGAAUGGGAAUUCAAGGCUUUGCUAGGGCUAAAAGCAGCUCUUCGUGCACAAUGUCGGGGCAUGUCGCUGCAUUUCGCGAGCUCGGCGAGCAGGCAGGCCGCGCCAGGGCUUAAAACAACAAGUCAUAACAUACAUAUGUCAUGUAUAAGCAUAAGGCAAGGUUUGGUCUUUGGACGGUGCGGCGUGUAUGGGCACGCCCCGAGUGAACCCGGGUUGAUUCACCGGCCUUUCCCUGGCACAUGCUUGGCUCCUUGCCGCCUUCCCUGACCACAUCUGAUUGUAUGGUUGUUAAAGACGUUUUGGAAGGUAGUGGGUGGUGCUUGCCGGAAGGUGGCACCACUCCUACCUUUCAGUUGCGAAUCUAAAUUGGUACGACAUGGUGCCACCCACGGUUUUCCUGCACCACGGGACCCUUGCGCAAUGGCGGGGUUGCGCAGCAGCAGCAGCAGCAGCAGCAGCAGCAACUGUAAGUGUACUUGGCUUUCGCCAAUAAACUCGCAAUUGCAUGCAGCGCUGCAUCUCCGUACUUCUGGAUUUUAGCGCCCAUGCUUGUGCCCCACCCGUUUAAAUUGCGUACGUUUGUCCCAACACAUAUUGCUUUCGGAACUGACACAUGUUUGUACUGCUUUGGCUUUUGCUCAACGCAAAUAAUGCUCCGGAACUUACUUCUACAUGCUUCCCGCUUUCUGCACCGAACGCCGAACGCCAAAGACUGCUAUUCCAGUCUUGCUCUGCCCUCACCCUAUAAUUUUGCAUGUCGUCACGCUUCGCGAAACUGAGCACCUCGCUCGCUCCCGCGAUCAUUGCAACAUCAAUCGACCUUUCUGCACUCGCUUACUGACCCCGUACCCCUAUGUUUCCGCUUUCUUUGCUCGCAUGUGAAUCAUAUUUGACGCCUACGCGACUACGCACACCUUCUGGACCCCAUCCUGCUCCUUGACGCGCUUCCGCCGGUAAUUUCGCCCACACAGC
RNAcentral lists this long non-coding RNA (2822 nucleotides) under Chlamydomonas reinhardtii. RNAcentral describes it as "long non-coding RNA (CREI_LNC000696)". The record is from RNAcentral. Lineage: Eukaryota; Viridiplantae; Chlorophyta; Chlorophyceae; Chlamydomonadales; Chlamydomonadaceae.